This is a long non-coding RNA of Oryzias melastigma (Indian medaka), 2628 nucleotides long. RefSeq lists it as uncharacterized. Lineage: Eukaryota; Metazoa; Chordata; Actinopteri; Beloniformes; Adrianichthyidae. The record is from RefSeq and is a predicted model, not a curated record. The transcript has 3 exons.
UCCAGGACCAGAAUCAGAGUGAACAGGAACUCUCCUGCAGUCCUCCUGAACCUCCAUUGGUGACGUCUGUGGGGUGAUGUAACUGAGUGUUUCUCUUCUGGUUGUCACUGAGGAGGUGGUGGCCAUUCGCCUUAAGAACCUUCACCUUCCAAAAACCCCUGAGGACCUGGAGGUGGAGUCCCGUGGGUUUGCAGGGCUGGCACAGCACAGAGUUUUUCCUUAAAGCUGCAGGUGCUAUCGAUGGAUGCCACAUCAGGAUCAAACCUCCUGGUGACCCUGGCAUCAUUCCAAAAGCGCCCUCCAUUAUAGAGCGUGCUUUGGAAUGAUGAAGACGAGAUUCAGAGGCAUCUUCCUGCAAGUGCUGGAGGUUGUCUCAGCUUGGGCCAUCCUCCACAAUAUCUGCUCCUGUGCUGAGGACACCGAGGCCCCAGAGGAUGAUGUGGAGGUGAUGAUGAGGAGGAAGCUUGUUUGGAAGCCAGCAGUGGUGCUCUCUGGCAGGACCAACUACCUGCUGAGGUUUCUGCCCAUGUGGGAGGUACCACCUGACCUUGAUUACUUUAAACAGGUAAUUAAUGAAUCAAGUGAUUUUUACUGCGAUGGACCGGCGACCUGUCCAGGGUGUACCCCGCCUUCGCCCAUCAGUAGCUGGGAUAGGCUCCGGCGCCCCGCGACCCCGAAAGGGAAGAAGCGGUUAAGAAGAUGGAUGGAUGGAAGUGAUUUUUAAUUAUUCAAUAAUUCAAUCAUUUAAUUAAUUGAGUUUUUGUUAAAAAUGUUUUAGGAUAGUGCAUGCAUUAUCUUAUAUUUAUGGGUCAUUUUUGGUCAUGCAGCAUCCGUCCACAGCCAACCCUGUAAACCCUGAAGAUGGACGAUGCAGUCUACAGUGAAGAUGCAUCCUGAAACUAUGCAGACCAUCCUGCAAGAUGUUCCAAUCACCACCCAGAAAGUUCCAUCCUCUGCAGCUACACUUCUGCAGCUUGGAGCCUGAAGAUGCUAAAGUCUGGUUUGAGGAAAAGCGCGAGUGCAGGGACAGAAACUUAAAUGGAUCUCGUCGUGUUUUUAAACCGAAAAAGGUCCAGCAGCUUACUUGUUAGAAUGGUUAUUCAUUUAAAAACCGCUGAACAGGUUUCUCACGUGCACCUGAGACUGUCAAUAGAAAAAAGAAGAUACAAACCCUUUUAUAACAUGCAUAUUUAAUAUGUAUCAAACAUGUUAUAUUCUUAAAUAGACAGGGGCAAUAAAUGACAAAAUAGCAAUGUGGGGGGGGGUUGUUUGUUUUGAUUUUGGUACUUUUAAAGGGUAAUCCAAUAGUGCAGUUGGUUGCGUAAUCCAUUUUUUUUCUCACAACUUUAUUGAAAACAUUAAUUUCAAUACAACGUUUACGAUAACGUUUGCAAAAGGAACAUAAAGUGUCAAUAUCAGGAUUAAAUCUUUUUAAAUACAUUUUUGUGGGGUAGAAUCUGUGAAAAAUUUUAUAAGAAACUUCUUUAAUUUUAUUAGAAAUAAGGUACUGAUUAGGUAAAAGCCAGACCUUUUUCAAGGACACAUCAUCCACAAAUUGUUUCCAAUAAUGAACAACACGUGGCAACGUAACAAUAUCUUUUUGAAAAAGAGCUCUAAUGCCUCUAUUAUUUUUCCUGGAACAAACAGUAAAACAGAUUUUUCCAACAGUGGACAGCGAAAGAGAAAGAUUGAAAGGGAAAGGAUCAAGUCUUGGUCUUUGAUUAAAUAACAUACAUAUUCCAGGAGAGAUCGCACCAAAAACUUUUGCAUAUUCUCCUGGAGUAACUGGGAUGUUAUACUUGUCAAGAAAAUCAGUAUAAGAUAAUAACUGCCCAUUUCAUAGGUAUUCAUUAGGGUACUUUUUUAAUGUAGUGUACUUUGUUCUUUCAUACAAAGUUGAAUAUUAAUUGAUCAAUCUUUUUACAAAUUUUGUUAUUGAGUUCUAAAGCGAGAGCAGCGUAGGUUAACCGGGAUAUUCCUUCUGCUUUACUGAUCAGAAUGCGACCUCUUAGUGAAAGAUCCCUUACAAGCCAUUGAUUAAAUUUCUUUUUUGUUUUUCUAUUAAGGGGUCAAAGUUCAAGGAACAUCUUUCCUGUUGAUUUUUAGUGAUUGUCAAACCUAAAUAAACAAGUUCAGUUUUAACUGGGAUGUCUUCUAUUUUGUCCUCAGAACUGUUCUUUACUGCCAUAAGUUCAUAUUUUUUUAAAUUUAAAUAAAGACCAGAUGCUUUGGACAAUAUUUCCAUUACAUUGAUUGCUAAAGAAAUUUCUGAUUGAUUCUUCAAAAAGAGAGUUGUGUCAUCUGCCAAUUGUGUUAGAAUUAUGUUACUAACAGCAACUGAUAGACCUUUCAGGGAGCUCGAUUUGAUAUGAUCUGCAAGAAGUUGACCUACCAAGAGGAAUAAAUAAGGAGAGAUAGGGCAUCCCCUGCGACAGACUGGCGACCUGUCCAGGGUGAACCCCGCCUUCGCCCUUCAGUAGCCGGGAUAGGCUCCGGCACCCCCGCGACCCCGAAAGGGACGAAGCGGUCAAGAAGAUGGAUGGAUGGAUAGAUUGGGCAUCCUUGACGGAUGCCUCUAUAAAUGUUAAAUUUAUGUGAAGUACCCCCCUUUAACUUGAUGGUUACGUA